UACCAGCACCCCGAGUGGUCGGGACGAUUAUUGGGCCUAAAGCAUCCGUAGCCGGUCCUACAAGUCUUCCGUUAAAUCCACCUGCUUAACAGAUGGGCUGCGGAAGAUACUAUAGGGCUAGGAGGCGGGAGAGGCAAGCGGUACUCAGUGGGUAGGGGUAAAAUCCUCUGAUCCAUUGAAGACCACCAGUGGCGAAGGCGGCUUGCCAGAACGCGCUCGACGGUGAGAGAUGAAAGCUGGGGAGCAAACCAGG
RNAcentral lists this ribosomal RNA (253 nucleotides) under uncultured bacterium. RNAcentral's name for it is "partial 16S ribosomal RNA". It matches the Rfam family "Archaeal small subunit ribosomal RNA", at positions 474 to 728 of the family's 1478-position model. The record is from RNAcentral.